Molecule: RNA transcript, 5073 nt
Organism: Meriones unguiculatus (Mongolian gerbil)
Lineage: Eukaryota; Metazoa; Chordata; Mammalia; Rodentia; Muridae
Gene: Ecd
Gene name: ecdysoneless cell cycle regulator
Exons: 16
Source: RefSeq, a predicted model, not a curated record
CUCCUUCCUCUCGUCAGCGGAAGUGACGGAGAAUGUGGCGUGGUUCAGAAAUUGGCUCCGAUACACAUUAAUGACUGCAUGUAAGGUUCCGGAGACUCACUGUUGCCAGGGGCGUUUCAGGGCCGAAGCGGACUUAGAGCGUCCUGCAGGGGCUAGGAUCAAGCAGCUGAUGGUAGCCUCUGAUCACGUGUCCUAGUGGAAGAGGCGGCCAAGGAAAGGUGCCAGAGCAGAGACGCGCCAAAGAGGUAGUAAUAGGAAACAACUUUACCUCUGUCAGGCGGAAGAAGGGAGUCUCGUUUGAUUAAAGAGCACUGGACGGCGCCACGCCGGUGCUUCUCCGGUCUUCUGUGUUCUCAGAAUGGAGGGGAAUAUGAAGCUUGCAGUGGUAGAAGAUGCUGUGGAGUACCACCUGUUCCUGAUACCGGAUAAUGCAAGAGACACGGAAGAAUACAGAGAGAUUCUUCAGAAGUACAUUGAAAGAAUAAUGACCCAAUUUGCACCUAUACUGGUCCCUUAUAUCUGGCAGAAUCAACCUUUCAAUCUCAAAUAUAAACCUGCAAAAGGAGGUGUUCCUGCUCAUAUAUAUGGCAUGACAAAGUUUGGAGAUAACAUUGAGGAUGAAUGGUUUAUUGUCUAUGUAAUAAAGCAGAUUACAAAGGCAUUUCCAGAGUUAGUGGCCAGCAAUAUGGAUUUAAGUGUUGUAACUCUGAAGGAAAGAUACUCUGGCCGGCAGGAGCCAAGGAAUACCACACAGCAAACCUCACACAAGAGAUUUAUUGGGAGGCAAAAACCCAGGAUUGAAGACAAUGAUGGUGAGUUCUUGUUAAUAGAAGCAGCUGACUUUCUCCCUAAGUGGUUGGAUCCCGAUAAUAGUGCCAAUAGGGUAUUCUUCCAUCAUGGGGAGCUGUGCAUUAUUCCUGUGCCAAGGAAAUCUGAAAGAAUAUCCUGGUUACCCAUGACACCCCCAACAAUCCAACAAGCUCUGAGUAUAAUCUCAGCCCACCCAGAUGUUGUUUUAGCUUCAGAGUCUAUACAAGCUGCUGUGGACAGGCGCAUCCGAGGGUACCCAGACAAAGUUGAAGCCUCUCGUCAUCGAGCACACUGCUUUCUUCCAGCUGGCAUUGUCGCAGUGCUCAAGCAACGGCCCAGACUAGUGUCUGCAGCGGUCCAAGCCUUCUACCUACGGGACCCCAUUGACCUGAGAGCCUGUCGCAUUUUCAAGACGUUUUUGCCUGAAACACGAAUAAUGGCAUCUGUCACUUUCACUAAAUGUCUGUACGCACAGUUAGUACAACAGAAGUUUGUGCCAGAUCGGCGGAGUGGAUACAGUCUCCCACCUCCAUCACAUCCCCAGUUCCGAGCCUAUGAACUGGGCAUGAAGCUGGCUCAUGGAUUUGAGAUUUUGUGCUCCAAAUGUAGCUCACAUUUUUCUGACUCCAAGAAAUCCGUUGACACUACUUCACCGCUCUGGGCUAGCUUCCUUGAAAGUCUGAAAAGGAAUGAUUACUUUAAGGGACUGAUGGAAGGUUCUACUCAGUACCAGGAAAGACUAGAAAUGGCAAAGAACUACUUCCAGCUCUCUAUACACCGGCCAGAAAGUUCACUUGCUAUGAGCCCAGGUGAAGAAAUCCUAACCAUGUUACAGACACUGCCAUUUGAUGUGGAAGAGCUCAAGAAAGAAUCCACUGAUCUUCCCCCUGAGGAUGAUGAUCAGUGGUUAGACCUCUCACCCGACCAGCUGGACCAACUGCUGCAAGACGUGGCGGGCAGAAAAGACUCUCAGCCCAGUCCCCAGCAGGCGGAGGAGCAGAGCUAUGAUGUCGGGCAGGUCUCAGACAGCGUGAAGGCCUUCAUCUCCAAAGUGUCAACUUACAAGGGGGCAGAGCUGCCCAGAGACCCUUCAGAAGCUCCAAUCACUUUUGAUGCAGAUUCUUUUCUGAAUUAUUUUGAUAAGAUUUUAGGGACAAAGCUUCAAGAGUCAGACUCUGAUGAUGACAAAGAUGACUUUGAGUGUUUAGAUAGUGAUGAUGACUUGGGUUUUGAAGCUCAGGAGCCUGACUCUCUGGAAGGAGCUCUUGGCAGCCUCAAGUCCUACAUGGCCCAGAUGGACCAGGAACUGGCACACACAAGUAUGGGCAAAAGCUUCAGUACCUGCGAGCAAGCAAAUAAAGAACCUUCAUCCCAGACUGCAAAUAACAAUUCAGAUGAGGAAGAUUCUGGUGCAAGAGAUAGAGUUGUUGAAGCAGUGGAUGUAGACCUGAACCUGGUUUCAAAUAUACUGGAAUCCUACAGCUCCCAAGCUGGGCUGGCAGGGCCUGCUUCCAACCUGCUGCAUAGCAUGGGUGUGCGGGUGCCUGACAAUGCUGAUCACAGCCCCCACGUAAGCCAGUGAGGGCUGAGCCUGCGCACUAGCUGCCCUUCACACUGAGGAAACACCAAGUCCACUUGUUCUUACAGGAUUAUCAACCUCUGCCCAUAGAACAAGAUGACAAUGACCUUCCAAUUGACCCUGAUGGUGGGGACCAGCUAUACCCUGACAAUGAAAACAUCCCUAAUCAGCAGGAAGUAGCUCGAAGAGCAAAGGUCACCCCUAUGCCCUCUCCACCACCACUCCUCACUUUUUAAUAAAACAAAAAGGGAGGAAUGUUGGGAUCCAUAAGCAGGCAUCUCUAUGGCCAGCCCCAAGGGACCUGACAAACUGGAUAUCAGGCAUCUGUGAAGCCACCUACAGACCACCCGAAACCACCCGCACAUGUUCUGGGUCACCUUAUAAGAGAACUCACACCACCUCCAAUCUCUCUUUCCUGCCCUGCCCAAAGACAGUCUCUGCGACUCCUUCCCCCUUCCCUUAAUAAACCUCCAACAUGGAACCAGUCACGUGGCAUGAUUUGUGAACCCACUGUAACUUUGCUGCACAAUCCUGACAGCAACCACUAAGGAAAACUAUGGAAGUUAUUAAAUAGAUAGAUAGAUAGAUAGAUAGAUAGAUAGAUAGAUAGAUAGACGGAUAGAUAAAUAAAUAAAUGGUGGCACUUGCCUUUAAUCCCAGUACUGGGGAGGCAGAGGAAGGAGGAUCUCUGGGAGUUUGAGGCCAGCCUGGUCUACACAGUGAAGUCCAGGCCAGAGAGGGAUAGACAGUGAAACCCUAUCUCCAAAUAAAAAUUUUAAAGCAGAGCUAUCAUUUGUUCCAAGAACCCCACCUCCCAAGCAUAAUAUCCAAGAGAACUGAAAUCUAGAACUCAAAGGUGCCUCUAUAUUCCUGUUGUUGCUGUGACACAAUUUACAUCAUCCAUGACAUAAAAAGUUUAAAUGUCUAUCAACAAAGAGUGACAAAUACAUACCAUGAACUAGUAUUGGGAGGUUUUUUUUAUUCUCACCUCUCAUGCCUGGAACUCCUGACUUCCUUACUCUGUUGCCCAAGUACUGAGGUAACAGGUAUUUGUUACGCUGGCUGGCCUUACUGAAUUUUUAAAAUGAAGGAAAUCCCACAUUUAUAAGGUGAUGGGCCUGGAAGAUAUGCUAAGUUCAAUAAUCUACUUGAUGCAGAUUCUACAUGGCCUCUGCUGCAUUGGGGACUAAAUUAGUCAGAUAUGUAGAAGUGAAGUGUUGAAUGCUUGUUCCCAAGGAGAGAAAAACAGGGAAGCAGUGAUUAGAGGGUAUUAAUUUCACUUAUACAAGAUAAAUUCUGGAGGCCUGUACAGUACAGCAUCUACAGUUAGCAAUAUUGUGUCAGUUACAUUAAAAUUCAACUUAUGUUAAAUGCUCUUAUCACAGAGGAGAAAUGGGGAUGGGGUAGAUGGUUAAGCUUAUGCCACUGCCAGUGAUGUCUGAUUGAUGGUUCCUGAUAGUAAUUACUGAUCAAACAGUACUACAUGCUUAUCUCUAAACCCAGCAAGUUAGGUGAACUAGAUGUCUAUAGACAUCUGAAGACCUAUCUAUAAAUAAAACAAAACAGGGUCUCAUGUAGUCCAGGUUGGUCUCAAACUUCUGAUCCUCCUGCCUCCACCUCCCAAGUGUUGGGAUUGUAAGUAGGUACUAGCAGGCUGGCUUUAUAUGGUGUGAAGACUGAACCUGGCUUUGUGUGUGUUACAAGCUAGCACUCUACCAACUGAACUACAUCCUCAUCCAUCAACAGACUCUGUGAUAAUUAUGCUCCAACAAAGCAGCUCAAAGGGAAGUUGUUUCAUAACUGAGAUAUAUGCAAAGGAGAAUGAUGAUUAUUUGUUUCCAUUCUCAAGUGCUUCCUUCAGGAUAAUGAUUAUCUUAUGUAUUACCAUGUAUCCCUGAUGUUACUCCUCAAGACAAGUGCUCAGAAAGUCCUUGCAGGCUGGCAAAGGGGACAUCACAGCAUAGAGGAAGGUUAAGACUUUACCUCUGUUUGCCCUGGUUUCACGGUUGCAUGACAAGCAAUCAUGAGUGAGCUAUUGGGAAAGGGCCAGUGCUGGGACGAGAAGUACUGUAUGUUUUCCACUUCCAGGCCCACUUCUUCUGCAACUUCUCGCUGGACAGCCUCUUCCACAUUUUCACCUGUAAGCACUCAGAUUAAUUCCAAACAGCCCUGGAGCAAGAGAAUUUUAUAUUAUCUAUCUGAAUCACGAUGGCCCAAGCUUCUGGGUGCUACCCAAGCUCAGUUCCCUGAGUAUAGCAUGUGCUCAAGUCUAAUGGGCUGAUUGUAAUGCAGGUGAGUGUAGCAAUGGGAGAGGUUACUGCUGCCUCUUCUGUGUGACAGGGCCACUCGUCACCUUCUCCAGACCUUAUCCUGUAAGCUAGAAGAGAAGACAGCAUAAAGGAAGCUAAGUGUGGGAUUCUAGUUACCAUUGUGUGUGCUGAAAGACUCAGGGAGAAGUACAUGAAUGUAAUUUGUUCAAGAGAAAAUAAAGAUGGGCUGACAGCAGGGCAGACAAAUGGAUAGAUGCCUGUGGGAGAGAAGAACAGUAAAGAUUACAGCUGAGGCGAUGGGUGUAGGGACGCUCACUGUAUAAUUCCUCCAGUUAUGCUGCAUGUUCCAAAUGUUGACUCCUGCUCUGUAGCGAAGUUACUUACAACUUCAGGACAGUUUAAUGUUUGUGACUA